UGGGGAAUUUUGCACAAUGGGGGAAACCCUGAUGCAGCGACGCCGCGUGAUUUAGAAGGCCUUCGGGCUGUAAAAAUCUUUUGUAUGGGAAGAAAAUGACAGUACCAUACGAAUAAGGACUGGCUAAUUACGUGCCAGCAGCCGCGGUAAUACGUAAGGUCCGAGCGUUGUCCGGAAUCAUUGGGCGUAAAGGGUACGUAGGCGGAUAAGCAAGUUAGAAGUGAAAUCCUAUAGCUCAACUAUAGUAAGCUUUUAAAACUGCUCAUCUUGAGGUAUAGAAGGGAAAGUGGAAUUCCUAGUGUAGCGGUGAAAUGCGCAGAUAUUAGGAGGAAUACCGGUGGCGAAGGCGACUUUCUGGCCAUAAUCUGACGCUGAGGUACGAAAGCGUGGGUAGCAAACAGG
RNAcentral lists this ribosomal RNA (402 nucleotides) under Verrucomicrobiota bacterium. RNAcentral describes it as "Verrucomicrobia bacterium partial 16S ribosomal RNA". It matches the Rfam family "Bacterial small subunit ribosomal RNA", at positions 355 to 776 of the family's 1533-position model. The record is from RNAcentral. Lineage: Bacteria; Pseudomonadati; Verrucomicrobiota.